UAAAUGAUUUUUUCUGAUUAAUAUAUUUUAUUAUUGUUUUUAGUUUAUGAAUUUAAAUGUUAAUAAAAUAAUAUUUUUUUUAGUUUGAUAAUGAAAAAUUUAGGAUAAUUAUGAAAGUAUUGAAAAAGAAAAAUUUUAUAAAAAGAGAAGUUGAAAUUAUUUUUGUACCUUUUGUAUCAGGGUUUGAAGAAAAGAAGUUAGAAUAAAUUAGUCUCGAAAAAUUAAGAUUUAAUUUUUUAUAAUUGUUAAUGUUUAAAAAUUAAUAUUAAAUAGAAAAUUGGUAGUGAAAAGCUAGUCGGUUAGUUAGGAUUCUAGUUUUUGAAUAAAUUAAUUUAAUUAAGUUUCAAAUUUUUAUAUAAAUAAAUAUAAGGAAUAAUUUGGGAUAAAAUUAUGAAGAGUUUAGUUUUUAUAAUUUUUAUAUUUAAAGGAAGAAAAAAUUUUUUUAGAAUUGUUAUUGUUUAUAAUUUUUAAUUUUUAGAAAAGAAAAUUUUUUUAGUUUAAUUUAUAUUAAAUUAAUAUUUUAUUUAAAUUAUUAUUUGAAUAAUAAAAAUAAAAGAAAAAUUUUAAAAUAAGUAAAUGUUAUUUAAAUUAUUAUAUAGGAACUCGGCAAAUUUAAUUUUCGCUUGUUUAUCAAAAACAUGUCUUUAAGAAUUUUAUUUAAAGUCCAGUCUGCUCACUGAUUGUUUUAAAGAGCUGCAGUAUAAUGACUGUACAAAGGUAGCAUAAUCAAUAGUUUUUUAAUUGAAAACUGGAAUGAAAGAUUAGACGAGAAAUUGACUUUCUUUAUAAUAAAAAAUUGAAUUUAAAUUUUAAGUGAAAAUGCUUAGAUGUUAUUAAAAGACGAGAAGACCCUAUAGAUUUUUAUUAAUUUUAGAUUAAAUUAUUAUUUAAUAAAAAGUUAAUUUAAUUGGGGCGAUUUUGUAAUAAGAAAAACUUAAUAUAUUUAAACCAUAAAUAAUUGAAUUUUUUGAAUUGAAAUUUUUAGUAAAUAGAUUAAAUUACCUUAGGGAUAACAGCGUAAUUUUAUUUAAGAGUUCAUAUCUAUAAUAAAGAUUGCGACCUCGAUGUUGAAUUAAGAACUUCAUUGGAGUAGAAAUUAAUGUUAAGUAGUCUGUUCGACUAUUAAAUUCUUACAUGAUUUGAGUUCAGACCGGCGUGAGCCAGGUCAGUUUCUAUCUUUAAUAUAAUUUUGUUAAUGGGUACGAAAGGACAAUUAAUAAAUAAAAUUUAUUUUGAAUUU
RNAcentral lists this ribosomal RNA (1240 nucleotides) under Lachesilla sp. LaspGHN. RNAcentral describes it as "16S ribosomal RNA". The record is from RNAcentral. Lineage: Eukaryota; Metazoa; Arthropoda; Insecta; Psocodea; Lachesillidae.